Dendronephthya gigantea is the source of this 656-nucleotide long non-coding RNA. RefSeq lists it as uncharacterized. Lineage: Eukaryota; Metazoa; Cnidaria; Anthozoa; Malacalcyonacea; Nephtheidae. The record is from RefSeq and is a predicted model, not a curated record. The transcript is spliced from 4 exons.
UAAAGACGACUGAUUUAGGUUCUUGAAAUAAAAAGUGUUUCUACCGAGUUCCUCACCAAAUAAUGGUCAAUUUAACAUCAAUUGUUUGUGGACGACCACCGCAUUUGAUCUACGGUGUGAAAAGAGGAAAAGUGCCAACGUCGUUAAGGCCACAUGUAAUCCUGAAGAAACAAGCUUUAGGGAAUGCAACAUGUAUGGAAGAAAUGUCCAAACUGAUGAACUGUUUUAAAAGGGAAAAGUUUGAAGAUCAAAAAUGCUCGAAGGAAGUUGGCGAGUUCCUAGAAUGUGCCAGAAUAGCGGCAAAAAGCAGAAUGGCUAAAAAGUCAAGUCAAAGUGGUUGGUCAUUAGAUGAACUCAAUGCAGUGCUAAAGGAAAACACACAGACAAUAAAAAAAUCCCGUGUGAGAACCUAAAAUGCAGGUUGAUUUCAAAUGCUAUCAACAUUGGUCCAACAAAAUGUGGUGUGAAAAUACGACGUAAUUGCUGAUGAUGACCGGAAGACAUUUUACGGAAAAAUAGAUAUCACCUCCCCGUUUUUACCAAAAGAAAGACAACAUAACAUAAGUCAACAUAUAAAAACUCACUUCGUUUUGACUUGCAAAGCCUCAGCUGUUGCAGGAAUCCUCUUGUCUCUAUCUGUAACCAGUUCAAUCCCA